AGUGAACGCUGGCGGUAGGCCUAACACAUGCAAGUCGAACGGCAGCACAGUAAGAGCUUGCUCUUACGGGUGGCGAGUGGCGGACGGGUGAGGAAUACAUCGGAAUCUACUUUUUCGUGGGGGAUAACGUAGGGAAACUUACGCUAAUACCGCAUACGACCUACGGGUGAAAGCAGGGGAUCUUCGGACCUUGCGCGAUUGAAUGAGCCGAUGUCGGAUUAGCUAGUUGGCGGGGUAAAGGCCCACCAAGGCGACGAUCCGUAGCUGGUCUGAGAGGAUGAUCAGCAACACUGGAACUGAGACACGGUACAGACUCCUACGGGAGGCAGCAGUGGGGAAUAUUGGACAAUGGGCGCAAGCCUGAUCCAGCCAUACCGCGUGGGUGAAGAAGGCCUUCGGGUUGUAAAGCCCUUUUGUUGGGAAAGAAAAGCAGCAGGUUAAUACCCCGCUGUUCUGACGGUACCCAAAGAAUAAGCACCGGCUAACUUCGUG
RNAcentral lists this ribosomal RNA (492 nucleotides) under uncultured bacterium. RNAcentral's name for it is "partial 16S ribosomal RNA". It matches the Rfam family "Bacterial small subunit ribosomal RNA", at positions 29 to 507 of the family's 1533-position model. The record is from RNAcentral.